UAUAGCGUAUAUUAAAGUUGUUGCAGUUAAAAAGCUCGUAGUCGGAUGUCGGGCUCGGGCAGGCUGUCGGCUUCGGUCGGACGGCAGGCUCGGGUCUUUCUGCCUGAGGAACCCGUGGCACUUAACUGUGCGGCGUGGGGACGCAGGCCGUUUACUUUGAAAAAAUUAGAGUGUUCAAAGCAGGCCUACGCUUGAAUACAUUAGCAUGGAAUAAUGGAAUAGGACUUUGGUGCUAUUUUGUUGGUUUAUGGGACCGAAGUAAUGAUUAACAGGGACAGUUGGGGCCGUUUAUAUUUCGUUGUCAGAGGUGAAAUUCUUGGAUUUACGAAAGAUAAACUUCUGCGAAAGCAUUCGGCAAGGAUGUUUUCAUUGAUCAAGAACGAAAGUUAGGGGAUCGAAGACGAUCAGAUACCGUCGUAGUCUUAACCAUAAACUAUGCCGACUAGGGAUCAGUGGAUGUCAAUUUGCGACUCCAUUGGCACCUUGUGAGAAAUCAAAGUUUUUGGGUUCCGGGGGGAGUAUGGUCGCAAGGCUGAAACUUAAAGGAAUU
This 550-nucleotide ribosomal RNA is filed under the name uncultured Cryptophyta. RNAcentral's name for it is "SSU rRNA". It matches the Rfam family "Eukaryotic small subunit ribosomal RNA", at positions 593 to 1154 of the family's 1831-position model. The record is from RNAcentral. Lineage: Eukaryota; Cryptophyceae.